RNAcentral lists this small RNA (125 nucleotides) under Marmota monax (woodchuck). The record is from RNAcentral. Lineage: Eukaryota; Metazoa; Chordata; Mammalia; Rodentia; Sciuridae.
GCUGGGCGUGGUGGUGCUCGCCUGUAAUCCCAGCAGCUCCAGAAGCUGAGAGAGGAGAAUCACGGGUUCAAAGCCAGCCUCAGCAAAAGCGAGGUGCUAAGCAACUCAGUGAGACCCUGUCUCUA